RNAcentral lists this ribosomal RNA (460 nucleotides) under uncultured bacterium. Its description in RNAcentral is "partial 16S ribosomal RNA". It matches the Rfam family "Bacterial small subunit ribosomal RNA", at positions 338 to 795 of the family's 1533-position model. The record is from RNAcentral.
CCUACGGGUGGCAGCAGUGAGGAAUAUUGGUCAAUGGUUGCGAGCCUGAACCAGCCAAGUAGCGUGAAGGAGGAAUGCCCUACGGGUUGUAAACCUCUUUUAUAAAGGAAUAAAGACAGGCACGCGUCCCCUUAUGUAUGUACCUUAUGAAUAAGCAUCUGCUAACUCCGUGCCAGCAGCCGCGGUAAUACGGAGGAUCCGAGCGUUAUCCGGAUUUAUUGGGUUUAAAGGGAGCGUAGAUGGGUUGUUAAGUCAGUUGUGAAAGUUCGCGGCUCAACCGUAAUAUUGCAAUUGAUACUGGCAGCCUUGAGUAGAGUUGAGGUAGGCGGAAUGCGCGGUGUAGCGGUGAAAUGCUUAGAUAUCGCGAAGAACUCCGAUUGCGAAGGCAGCCUACUAAACUGCCACUGACAUUGAUGCACGAAAGUGUGGGUAUCAAACAGGAUUAGAUACCCGAGUAGUC